RNAcentral lists this ribosomal RNA (451 nucleotides) under Escherichia coli. RNAcentral's name for it is "bacterial SSU rRNA". It matches the Rfam family "Bacterial small subunit ribosomal RNA", at positions 10 to 457 of the family's 1533-position model. The record is from RNAcentral. Lineage: Bacteria; Pseudomonadati; Pseudomonadota; Gammaproteobacteria; Enterobacterales; Enterobacteriaceae.
AGUUUGAUCAUGGCUCAGAUUGAACGCUGGCGGCAGGCCUAACACAUGCAAGUCGAACGGUAACAGGAAUCAGCUUGCUGAUUCGCUGACGAGUGGCGGACGGGGGAGUAAUGUCUGGGAAACUGCCUGAUGGAGGGGGAUAACUACUGGAAACGGUAGCUAAUACCGCAUAACGUCGCAAGACCAAAGAGGGGGACCUUCGGGCCUCUUGCCAUCGGAUGUGCCCAGAUGGGAUUAGCUAGUAGGUGGGGUAACGGCUCACCUAGGCGACGAUCCCUAGCUGGUCUGAGAGGAUGACCAGCCACACUGGAACUGAGACACGGUCCAGACUCCUACGGGAGGCAGCAGUGGGGAAUAUUGCACAAUGGGCGCAAGCCUGAUGCAGCCAUGCCGCGUGUAUGAAGAAGGCCUUCGGGUUGUAAAGUACUUUCAGCGGGGAGGAAGGGAGUAA